Molecule: ribosomal RNA, 253 nt
Filed under: uncultured bacterium
Lineage: Bacteria
Description: partial 16S ribosomal RNA
Rfam family: Bacterial small subunit ribosomal RNA
Source: RNAcentral
UACAGAGGGGGCAAGCGUUAUUCGGAAUUAUUGGGCGUAAAGGGCGCGUAGGCGGCUUGGCAAGUGGAUGGUGAAAUCCCACAGCUCAACUGUGGAACUGCCUCGGAUACUGGGAGUCUCGAGGGUGGUAGGGGUAUGCGGAACUAUCGGUGGAGCGGUGAAAUGCGUUGAUAUCGAUAGGAACUCCGGUGGCGAAGGCGGCAUACUGGACCACAUCUGACGCUGAGGCGCGAAAGCCAGGGGAGCGAACGGG